Non-coding RNA from Capsicum annuum, 107 nucleotides. NCBI's taxonomy places the organism in Eukaryota, Viridiplantae, Streptophyta, Magnoliopsida, Solanales, Solanaceae. The record is from Rfam.
UGAUGAUGGUGAAGGCAAUUUUUGAGUAUACUUUUAAAUCUCUCCCAGUUUUGGUAGAGGUUCUCUCCUUCUUUCUAUGUGAAACCCAGAAUCUCACUUCUAAAAUG